This 250-nucleotide unclassified non-coding RNA is filed under the name uncultured Pleosporales. Its description in RNAcentral is "sequence contains 5.8S rRNA gene, ITS2, 28S rRNA gene". The record is from RNAcentral. Lineage: Eukaryota; Fungi; Ascomycota; Dothideomycetes; Pleosporales.
AACGCACAUUGCGCCCUUUGGCAUUCCUUAGGGCAUGCCUGUUCGAGCGUCAUUUAUACCCUCAAGCGCAGCUUGGUGUUGGGCGUCUGUCCCCCCUCCGGGGCGUGGACUCGCCUCAAAGUCAUUGGCGGCCGGUACGUAGGCUUCGAGCGCAGCACAGUCGCGUCUCGGGGCUCGCGGUACCUGCGACCAAAAGGCACUUCUUCCACAGUUUGACCUCGGAUCAGGUAGGGAUACCCGCUGAACUUAA